Molecule: unclassified non-coding RNA, 292 nt
Organism: Callithrix jacchus (white-tufted-ear marmoset)
Lineage: Eukaryota; Metazoa; Chordata; Mammalia; Primates; Cebidae
Rfam family: Metazoan signal recognition particle RNA
About the family: The signal recognition particle (SRP) is a universally conserved ribonucleoprotein. It is involved in the co-translational targeting of proteins to membranes. The eukaryotic SRP consists of a 300-nucleotide 7S RNA and six proteins: SRPs 72, 68, 54, 19, 14, and 9.
Source: Ensembl
GCUGGGCACGUGCCUGUAGUCCCAGCUACUCCAGAAGCUGAGGCGGAAGGAUCAUUUGAGCCUAGGAGUUCUGGGCUGUAGUGCACUAUUCAGAUCAGGUGUCCGCACUAAGCUCGGCAUCAAUAUGGUGACCUCCCGGGAGCAGGGGACAACCAGGUUGCCUAAGCAGGGGUGAACUGGCCCAGGUCGGAAACAAUGCAGGUCAAAACCCCCGUGCUGAUGAGUAGUGGGAUUGCACCUGUGAACAGCCACUGCACUUCAGCCUGGGCAACAUAGUGAGACCCCGUCUCUA